This is a long non-coding RNA of Monomorium pharaonis (pharaoh ant), 151 nucleotides long. RefSeq lists it as uncharacterized. NCBI's taxonomy places the organism in Eukaryota, Metazoa, Arthropoda, Insecta, Hymenoptera, Formicidae. The transcript has 3 exons. The record is from RefSeq and is a predicted model, not a curated record.
GAGAAUUAAAAUGUAGAGAAAUGAAAUUGUACCAGGAAUGAAAAUAAAAAUAUCAAAGAAUUGAAAUUGCUUUUUUAAAACUUGCAGUACUUAACGAGAGCGAAGGAUUUAAUUCUUUAUUGAUGGGGACUUACAUGUCACAGCGGCCAGG